GAUGAACGCUGGCGGCGUGCCUACUACAUGCAAGUCGAGCGAAGCGGGGACGGGUGAGUAACACGUGGCUAACCUCCUAUAAGACUGGGAUAACUUCGGGAAACCGGAGCUAAACCGGAUGCUUAAAGAUGGAUCCGAGCUGCAUUAGCUAGUUGGUAAGGUAACGGCUUACCAAGGCAACGAUGCAUAGCCGACCGGAGAGGGGGAUCGGCAACACUGGAACGGAGACACGGUCCAGACUCCUACGGGAGGCAGCAGUAGGGAAUAUGCCGCAAUGGGCGAAAGCCUGACAGAGCAACGCCGCGUGAGUGAAGAAGGUCUUCGGAUCGUAAAACUCUGUUAUGAGGGAAGAGGUACCUAACCAGAAAGCCACGGCUAACUACGUGCCAGCAGCCGCGGUAAUAA
This 405-nucleotide ribosomal RNA is filed under the name uncultured bacterium. RNAcentral's name for it is "partial 16S ribosomal RNA". It matches the Rfam family "Bacterial small subunit ribosomal RNA", at positions 28 to 526 of the family's 1533-position model. The record is from RNAcentral.